GGCUCCGUAGUUCAAUGGAUAGAAUAUAAGUUUCCGGAACUUAGGAUGUAGGUUCGAUUCCUACCGGGGCUA
RNAcentral lists this transfer RNA (72 nucleotides) under Cyclobacteriaceae bacterium. RNAcentral's name for it is "tRNA-Arg". It matches the Rfam family "tRNA". Rfam says of the family: Transfer RNA (tRNA) molecules are approximately 80 nucleotides in length. Their secondary structure includes four short double-helical elements and three loops (D, anti-codon, and T loops). Lineage: Bacteria; Pseudomonadati; Bacteroidota; Cytophagia; Cytophagales; Cyclobacteriaceae. The record is from RNAcentral.